AGCUUGCAGGAUGUACCACAUGUUAAGAGGGUCUUAGGCUACCUGUAUACAAGUAAUUUUCAAUGCUUUUCAUCUAAGUCUAAAAGCUGACCCAUCCUUUAAAAGUAUGUGCUCAGUAAGUCACCAGAAAGUGGCAUGGAGCAGAGGAUUGUUUAAUUAGGGGUGCUGAGUCACUUUGGGGACCUGGAGGCUCUGUCUUUGACUAGGCAAAGUGUUUGCUCCAAGCCUUUCCUCUGCCCAAAUCUGUGAAGAUCUAGUUGCACCUUGGAACUUUCAGCACCAAGGCGCCAAGUGAACUGCCAUGAACAACAAGAUAUGCACAACACCCACCAGGCAUGCAUGUGCUCUCUCUGAGCACUGGUGCAGACCCACCCAGGGCAAAUGCAGACUGUCUUCAUGCGGAGAUAUCACCUGCAGGUGCAUGGGUUGCCCUUGGAUACUGCUGUAACAAGAUUUCUUUUCUCCAAAGACAGAAAGGCUGGAUUGUGGUUCCACAAAUGAUGAGACUGCUGUAAGGAAAAUGUAGAGGAAAUACUGCAAGACAUUCACAUAGGCAGAGUUUUGGAAAAAAUCCCAAAGCCCAAGCAACAAAAACCCAACUGGAAAAUUGAGAUUAUACCAAACUGAAAGGAGACAACAAAGUUAAAAGAUAACCUGCAACAGGUUUCCAAGGGGAUUAACCUCCAACUGAAUUGAAGGGGGACAGCCCAUGCUCCAGCCUGUGUUCUACUUCAGAAUCCUUCUCAACACUGCUCCAGGCAGCAACUGGCCAUCAGCAGGACUUGGCCCUGAAGUUGAGACCUCUACGACAGCCUUUCUUUAGGCUAAUGGUCCAGUACUGGAC
Long non-coding RNA from Heterocephalus glaber (naked mole-rat), 844 nucleotides. The record is from Ensembl. NCBI's taxonomy places the organism in Eukaryota, Metazoa, Chordata, Mammalia, Rodentia, Bathyergidae.